UGGCGCACGGGUGAGUAGCGCGUGGGUAAUUUGCCCCUGAGCCCGGGAUAACCUUGCGAAAGCGGGGCUAAUACCGGAUAAGACCACAAUUCGUUCGCGAGUAGUGGAAAAAGCUGGCCUCUACAUGUAAGCUAGCACUUGGGGAUGAGCCCGCGUACCAUUAGCUUGUUGGUAGGGUAAUGGCCUACCAAGGCUACGAUCUAUAGCUGGUCUGAGAGGAUGAUCAGCCACACUGGGACUGAGAUACGGCCCAGACUCCUACGGGAGGCAGCAGUGGGGAAUAUUGGACAAUGGGCGCAAGCCUGAUCCAGCCAUGCCGCGUGAGUGAAGAAGGCCUUAGGGUUGUAAAGCUCUUUCACCUGCGAAGAUGAUGACGGUAGCAGGAGAAGAAGCCCCGGCUAACUCCGUGCCAGCAGCCGCGGUAAUACGGAGGGGGCUAGCGUUGUUCGGAAUUACUGGGCGUAAAGGGCGCGUAGGCGGUAUGCCAAGUCAGGGGUGAAAGGCCUGGGCUCAACCUAGGAACUGCCUUUGAAACUGGCAAACUAGAGUCCGAAAGAGGAUGACGGAAUUCCCAGUGUAGAGGUGAAAUUCGUAGAUAUUGGGAAGAACACCGGUGGCGAAGGCGGCCAUCUGGAUCGGCACUGACGCUGAGGCGCGAAAGCGUGGGGAGCAAACAGGAUUAGAUACCCUGGUAGUCCACGCCGU
This 705-nucleotide ribosomal RNA is filed under the name uncultured bacterium. Its description in RNAcentral is "bacterial SSU rRNA". It matches the Rfam family "Bacterial small subunit ribosomal RNA", at positions 96 to 803 of the family's 1533-position model. The record is from RNAcentral.